This is a long non-coding RNA of Peromyscus leucopus (white-footed mouse), 2699 nucleotides long. RefSeq lists it as uncharacterized. The record is from RefSeq and is a predicted model, not a curated record. Lineage: Eukaryota; Metazoa; Chordata; Mammalia; Rodentia; Cricetidae. The transcript is spliced from 4 exons.
ACCUCCCCCUGCUCUGGAAAGAGUCUCUGGAGGAUGCCCCCACAGGUCCUGUUAAAGACACCAACCCCAAUUCUCCCCUGGCUGACAAGCAGGCUGGCUGCCCAGCCCAUGGAGAAGUUAGAGGACUUUUAUGCUCUGCAGCCAUGGCAGUGAGAGUCCAGCAGUGGUUUUAGGGGGAAUCACGCUGAAAUUGGGCUGUGUGUUUUUUGUUAAUGUGAAGAUGAAGCAUUCUCAUUGUGGCCCUGAACAGUUUACGUCCUGAAAGAGUGACUGGAGUUAACAAAGCCACUACAGGGCAGGGUUCAGAUUAGAAAGUAGUUUUUCUUUUUGUUAUUUUCUUUUAAAAGCCCUCUUUAUCUUUACCCUCUCUCCCAGGGCUCCUGUAGCUCCCUGAUAACCUGUAAGGCUCCUCGGGUAAGAACGGAGCUGCAAUGCUAAUGUCACAGAGCUGGAGCUGCCCCUCUGCAGAGAUGCUGCCCCCCUGGGCACCCCUUCUGCAGAGCCAAGCCCUGCAGGGAAUGCCAGCCUGUCCUUCCUCUCCCCUCGCCAGUGGGGUUUCAUGUAGUGAAUACCAACACGGAUCAAGACAGAAUAUUUAUCCAGGAAUGGUGGGUGGAGCAUGCCUGGAACCCAAGUACUGAGGAGGUGGAGGAAGAAGUAUCGGAAGUUCAAGGCCAAGGGGGACCCUGUCAGAAUAUAGAAAUUGAAAGGGGCUGGAGAUGUAACUCAGUUGCAGAGUGCUGGCCUGGCAUACACGAGGUCCUGGGUUCAAUCUGUGGUACUGCAGGAAGAGGAGAAGGAAGAGGAAGACUCAUCCAUCUCCAUUGCUGCCUCCCAAAGUUAGUGGCCGAUGCCAACACUGCGGGCAGCAGCAAGGACACCGUUCACCGGGGCUCCCACCAAUCUCAGCACUGGAUAUGCACAAGGAUUCAGGAUGCUCUGUCUCUCUAGUGCCUUCUCAGCUCCCCAGAGGCUCUGUACUGCUGAAGUCUGUUGAAGGCAGGGCUUCUGUUCCUAAAGACUUUGUCCUCUUCACACUCGGAGAAUCCGAAGACUUGCCAUGGGGGAUAAGUGGCCUAGCCUUUGCUGUUCCCUGGCCUGGCCUCCCUAAAAUUUCUUCUUGGGAUGCAAACUUCCUCAUCAAAUUUGAACAAAUGCCUCAUUUCCCUUCCGCAAUAUCUAAUCCAAGAUCAGGUAAAAAAUAAUGUUAAUUUUUUUCCUGGAGAAAAGUUGAUAGUUCUAAAUUGCAACUCAGUAAUGUAAGAGCUUUCAAACUGGCAUGUGCAAUUGGGCUGAGCUAACUUAAAUUCAAUAUCAGAGGAACAGCGAAGUAUUUUAAUCAUCUCAUUCUCAUAAUAGGAGAGGAAACUGGUUCCAUGGGAGGUAAACACCCCAAGCCACAAGGUUCUCAUGUAAACCACAGUGCUUGACUUGAGCUGACAGGGGGAGGGGACACUUCUUCCUGUGUGAUGGCAUUUCCUGAUGUGUGCUUUCUUCUUCCAUUUCUCCUUUCCUCUUUUUUAAAUUGCAGCCAUGAAAAAGUGGUAAAUUAGAAAGACACAGUAAAAUAUCAUCAGAAUUGGCUGGGACCAACUUCAAGGAGACAGUCUCAUGGGCCAGGCCUUAAGAAUGAGGGAGACAGAAAUAAACUACAGCUCACCUUUGGGGUCCAAGGCCUCUGGCGGGCCUUGUUUUAUGGUAUAUUCUCUGCCUUGUUCCUUGAAACAGGGCCAUUCACUGAACCUAGAGAUAAGAUGGCAUCCAUCAAACUCCCAUGAUUCUUCUGUCUUGGAAGACAGAAGGGGUAUAGAUUCACGUGUCUAAAUCUGACUCCCAUGGGUGUAUGUGGCUAAGUCUGGCACUGGUUUUUAGCAUGAGUGCUUGAAACUCAAGUUCUCAUUAUUACACAGAAUGCACCCUUAUCCCUGAACAACUUCCUUGGCCCACAGCUACCAUGAUCAUGAAGCAAGGGUGAGUUUUUGCUUGUGUCUGUCUGUGCCAGGCCCUCGGCUGCAGGUUCCAAGAGUCACCCUGUCACUGUGAUUAGCCUCAUUUGGGGCAGAGGAAACAGGUUCAGAGAAGGGAAGGGAUGCUUCUGUCACUGUUUCCCACCACAGGGGAGAGCACUUGACCCGGCACUCAUCAUCGUUCACCCUGGAUAACCUGGUCCCAGUGCUGGGUGGACCUGCAAUCACUGCGCUGACUAAAAAUCAAGAAGGGUUAGGGACUGGUCAGAAGGCUCAGUGGGUGAAGAUGCUUGCCCUCAACCCCGACCACCCGGUUCCGUCCUCAGGCCCUACACAGUGGAAGGAGAAAACUGACUCCUGAAAGUUGCCUUUGAUGAUGUGUGUGUGCUGUGACAUGUGCACACGCCCCUUCCAACAAACAAAUAGACUUAAAAAAAAAGAAAGAAAGAAAGAAAUGAAAGUUUGGGACAUGAGAACAAAUUCCUCUAAGAACAUAAAUCCUUGAUUUUAUAUGUGGCCAAUGUCCUUAGGGUGACCUUGUCACUGACAUACUUAUCACCCCUCUGUCCCCCACCCCGGGGCUGUCUAAGUUUCAGAUCAUCAGGAAAAGAUGCCAUUGCAAGAUUUGGAAAGCACAUGAGCCCCAAGGCCUUAUUUGCCUUGCUGAUAGACAGCAGCCCUGCGUUAUCUGCAGGAAAUACCUGAAAUGGUUGCUAGCCUUUCAGGUCCUCU